Non-coding RNA from Erythranthe guttata (spotted monkey flower), 216 nucleotides. The record is from RefSeq and is a predicted model, not a curated record. Lineage: Eukaryota; Viridiplantae; Streptophyta; Magnoliopsida; Lamiales; Phrymaceae.
UUUUUCUUAAUAUUUUGUCUUCUGUCAUGUUUUGCAAGUAAUAUUAGUGCAGAUUGAGAGAAUGUUUAGUUAAUUGCAUUUUGUUUUAUAAUUUUAGGUUGUAUGGUUGAGAUGCUUGUAUGGUUAUUUGUUCGUAUUUUAUGCUUUGUAGUAAUCUAGUUUAUUGUUGUAUGUAUUUUGGUAUUUAAAAUCGGGCAAAUUAGUACAAUGCAAUUU